Long non-coding RNA from Alligator sinensis (Chinese alligator), 856 nucleotides. RefSeq lists it as uncharacterized. The record is from RefSeq and is a predicted model, not a curated record. The transcript is spliced from 3 exons. NCBI's taxonomy places the organism in Eukaryota, Metazoa, Chordata, Crocodylia, Alligatoridae.
CUUUUGUUGCUUCAGCUGUAGCAGUUGCUGGGGGCUUCUACUGCUUGCUCCUGACCCAGGGGCAGGCCAGCAUAAUGCAGUGUAGCCCAUGCUGUUGUGGGAGCUGGCAGCCUGGAGCACCCAUAUGGCGAGGUGCCACAGAGGAGCCCAGAAGAAACUGAAGGUGGAAAGCAUCCUAGCCUGCAAGAGAUCCUGCUGGUGGCUGUCAGGAGUUGGAUGGAAGGGACAUGGCCAGGAAAACAGUCAGGCUGCUCCCUGCAGGUCCCAGAGACCGUGGGGGCUAGGAGACAAGACAGAAGAAGCAGGAGCAAAAUGUGGGAACCAGCAGCAGAUUACAGAUGCAAUAGCAGAGGGGAAACGUGUGGCCAGAGGUUCCAGAGAUGUGACAGAGCCAGGAUUGUUCGACUGUAACAGAAGGACAUGGACAUGUGGGCAACAACUGAGCGCUCUCAGGACUAGAGGCUGGUUUGGGACACCUCUGGAGAUGUGGGAAGGUACAAGUUUCUUUGAGUGUCUGUACCUGAAUACUAGUGCAUGUUAUUAGUUACUUGCUCGUGUGUGAAUACACUACAGUGUUCCUUCUUGUUUUCUAUUAUUCAGCUUCUAUGUGUAUAUCCUUUAACAUUUAUCUACUUGUAUUUGCUCAUUUUUCCCUAGCCCAUUGGCUUGUGACCCUACUCCCCAGCAUAUUCUGUAUAAAAUUGGGAAACUCCCUUUUGGCUUCCUAUGCCAAUUCCUGGGGUUUCAGGGUUAACUACACUGUAUCCAAAGUAAACUGAAUAAUAAGUUAAAAUGUAUACAACACAGGAAAAUGUGCACAGUAGUGUUGCAUUAAGUAUUCACCUGUUGGUUAGAA